UCGGGAUAGCUCAGCUGGUAGAGCAGAGGAC
RNAcentral lists this transfer RNA (31 nucleotides) under Rubus ulmifolius. RNAcentral's name for it is "partial tRNA-Phe". The record is from RNAcentral. Lineage: Eukaryota; Viridiplantae; Streptophyta; Magnoliopsida; Rosales; Rosaceae. RNAcentral also lists the same sequence under 2 other names.